GCAGUAUGCAGACAGGGAGUUCUAGAUAACUGCAGACUGAUUCCUCAGGGCCAAGGCCAGGCCAGACCAGUGGUGGCAUCGCUGGGUGGACCCUGGCGGUCACUCCUCUUAAGCCCUCUGAGGCUCUCCAUCUGACUGAUCUGGGGCUUUACUAGUUUUCUCAGCAGCCCAGUGAGCCCCUCAGCUUCCAGAGGCUCAAGGCACCAGCCCACCAGCCCACGUGAGGGUCGCUGGUCCCCUUUCUCCAGUUGGAAGCUCAAAAGUCAGGAAGGAUCUGGCUUCCCCACUGGUCCCCUGGACAUUGGAGAAGGUCUGCCUCACCUGUCUACCUUCCCAGCCUUGGACCCUUUAGACAUAAGCCCAGCAGAGAGGGCAUGAGGCCAUGUUCAUCCGCAGACCUCGCUCCCCUGGGGUAUCCAGAUCUCUCCCCUUAAGCCUGAGGCCUGGAGGCCAGCCUGGCUCUGCUAAUGCUUGCCGCAUGAUCUUCAACAGAUCCAGUAGCUCACAGAGGAGCAGCAUGGUAGAGAAAAUCAGAUGAUGACAUCAAGAAACCAGGGAUGUUUUGGAGGCCCACUGAGAGAACUGAUGUAAAAUGCUCUAAAGAUGAAGAGAAUUACAACAAAUCACUCAUGGAUGGAGGCAGAACAAGUUCAGCUCAGCUUCAUGGGACUGGCCAGUUCUUACUGUGGUCCUAGGAGGUAUUGGGGACCCUUUUUGGCAUGAGAGUUGCAGUGGCACUGAGAUGACAGGAAUAAGUGAGCAAAGCCUGUUUGAGGUCUAGGAAGAAGAGGUGUGGUAACGGUACCUUAAGAACUGGAGAAACUUCUGGACCUUCACUGCCAAUGCACAACCAUCACCGCCACCAAGCUUCAGCAAUCUCUCCCUUGGACAGCUACCUGCUGUGAAAAUACUUGCUUAAUGUAGUUCCUCUUGAAAAUGUUGUUCCUGCAUUAUGACUUUCAUUACACAUUUCCCAAUGAGCUUUGUUUGGUUAUUUUACUUGUGUUUCUAUUGACAGGGCAUAGGAUGAAACACCUUCUAAUUACCUCUGAAUAUCUUUACUGGUUAUCUAUGGCUGUGUACAAACCAUCCAAAACUCAGUGGCUUAACACACCCAUUUACAGAGGUCAUGAUUCUGUAGGUUUGUAUUUGGGCUAUCUUCAGGCAGGCAGUUCCACUGCUGAUCUUGGCUGGGCUCAUUCACUUUGUGUAUAGUUUUGAGUCAGUUGGGAAGCUCUGCUUUGGAGAUAGGCUGGCUAUCAACUCUGUGGUUAUGGGUAUCAACUGAGCCAUGUGUUUUUUAUCAUCUAGGAGGGUAGUCUGGGCUUGAGCACAUGAUGGUAGUCUCAGUAUUCCAAGAAGAGCAAGAGAUGUAGCUGCAAUGCCUCUUGAACUAGGCUUAUAACUCACCCAGUGUCAUUUAUAUUAUUGGCCAAAGCAAGUCACAAAGCCAGCCUGAAAUGCACUCCACCUCAUGAUGGGAGAAUUUGCAAAGUGCUGUGGCAAUUUUCCCAAUAUGCUUCAAGGUGUAUAAACUUUCUUCCAUUAAUCCUGGCAUAUGCAAGGAGGAAAGAAUGGAAAACAUUCCAAAGAAAGUUUUUGUUAUUGUUGUUAUUUUCUAUAACCAUAACAAAUACUGGAAGCAUGAUGAUUCCCUAUUGUUUACACAUUAUCAUUAUUAUUUAUUGAGCACCUCAUAUGUGCCAGAGACCAGUCA
This 1717-nucleotide long non-coding RNA is filed under the name Homo sapiens (human). RNAcentral describes it as "HSALNT0006640". The record is from RNAcentral. Lineage: Eukaryota; Metazoa; Chordata; Mammalia; Primates; Hominidae.